AGCGAACGCUGGCGGCAGGCCUAACACAUGCAAGUCGAACGAUCCUUCGGGAUAGUGGCGGACGGGUGAGUAACACGUGGGAACGUGCCCUUUGGUUCGGAACAACUCAGGGAAACUUGAGCUAAUACCGAAUGUGCCCUUCGGGGGAAAGAUUUAUCGCCAUUGGAGCGGCCCGCGUCUGAUUAGCUAGUUGGUGAGGUAAAGGCUCACCAAGGCUACGAUCAGUAGCUGGUCUGAGAGGAUGAUCAGCCACAUUGGGACUGAGACACGGCCCAAACUCCUACGGGAGGCAGCAGUGGGGAAUCUUGCGCAAUGGGCGAAAGCCUGACGCAGCCAUGCCGCGUGAAUGAUGAAGGUCUUAGGAUUGUAAAAUUCUUUCACCGGGGACGAUAAUGACGGUACCCGGAGAAGAAGCCCCGGCUAACUUCGUGCCAGCAGCCGCGGUAAUACGAAGGGGGCUAGCGUUGCUCGGAAUUACUGGGCGUAAAGGGCGCGUAGGCGGACAGUUUAGUCAGAGGUGAAAGCCCAGGGCUCAACCUUGGAAUUGCCUUUGAUACUGGCUGUCUUGAGUACGGAAGAGGUGUGUGGAACUCCGAGUGUAGAGGUGAAAUUCGUAGAUAUUCGGAAGAACACCAGUGGCGAAGGCGACACACUGGUCCGUUACUGACGCUGAGGCGCGAAAGCGUGGGGAGCAAACAGG
This 700-nucleotide ribosomal RNA is filed under the name uncultured Caulobacteraceae bacterium. RNAcentral describes it as "bacterial SSU rRNA". It matches the Rfam family "Bacterial small subunit ribosomal RNA", at positions 28 to 776 of the family's 1533-position model. Lineage: Bacteria; Pseudomonadati; Pseudomonadota; Alphaproteobacteria; Caulobacterales; Caulobacteraceae. The record is from RNAcentral.